GACGAACGCUGGCGGCGUGCUUAACACAUGCAAGUCGAACGGAAAGGCCCUGCUUUUGUGGGGUGCUCGAGUGGCGAACGGGUGAGUAACACGUGAGUAACCUGCCCUUGACUUUGGGAUAACUUCAGGAAACUGGGGCUAAUACCGGAUAUGAGCUCCUGCUGCAUGGUGGGGGUUGGAAAGUUUCGGCGGUUGGGGAUGGACUCGCGGCUUAUCAGCUUGUUGGUGGGGUAGUGGCUUACCAAGGCUUUGACGGGUAGCCGGCCUGAGAGGGUGACCGGCCACAUUGGGACUGAGAGACGGCCCAGACUCCUACGGGAGGCAGCAGUGGGGAAUAUUGCACAAUGGGCGGAAGCCUGAUGCAGCAACGCCGCGUGCGGGAUGACGGCCUUCGGGUUGUAAACCGCUUUCGACUGUGACGAAGCGUGAGUGACGGUAAUGGGUAAAGAAGCACCGGCUAACUACGUG
This 468-nucleotide ribosomal RNA is filed under the name uncultured bacterium. Its description in RNAcentral is "partial 16S ribosomal RNA". It matches the Rfam family "Bacterial small subunit ribosomal RNA", at positions 28 to 507 of the family's 1533-position model. The record is from RNAcentral.